Molecule: RNA transcript, 2066 nt
Organism: Chelmon rostratus (copperband butterflyfish)
Lineage: Eukaryota; Metazoa; Chordata; Actinopteri; Chaetodontiformes; Chaetodontidae
Gene: aup1
Gene name: AUP1 lipid droplet regulating VLDL assembly factor
Exons: 13
Source: RefSeq, a predicted model, not a curated record
GCUAGCGCUGCUAGCACCGCGGGCAGGAGUAUCUGUAUGGCGAUAUCUUAGCUAACAUUUUAAACUUGCUGAAAAAGGCUGCCUGAAAACAUUUUGCUAUACUUUUGCUAACCCACCAGGGAAACAAUAACGUUAGCUGUCAGUUUAUCCUUCGAACGACAAAAUAUCUGUCGUGAACGUUAUGACUAAUUUAUUUUUAGGGAUCAGGUUGUAUUCUUAGCAUUAGCCUCUGACCAAAGGUCUGACUGGCCGACAUGGAGACUCGGGGGAUUGAAGACAUGUUUGACUUUCGUCGGUUUCCCAAAGAUGCAGUUGUCCUCCUGCUGUUGCUGGUUUACUUUCCAGUUGGCAUUUGUUUGACGUUAAUAAGGAUUUUUAUUGGUGUUCACGUGUUCUUGGUCAGCUGCGCUCUUCCAGAAAGUUUUGUUAGAAGAUUUAUUGUAAGGAUUAUGUGCUCAGUCCUGGGGAUGCAUGUCAGACAGAAAAACCCUCGUUCCAGAGACAGAAACACCAAGCUGUACAUGUGCAAUCAUGUGACAGAGUUCGACCACAACAUAAUCAACCUUCUGACCACCUGCAGUACUCCCCAGUUAGAGGGCUCCACAGGCUUUGUUUGUUGGGCCAGAGGCUUCAUGGAAAUCCAUUCAGCAUCAGGCCAGGAAGCAAUCGGAGAGUCUCUUCAGAGGUACUGCUCCACUGAAGGCACCCCACCUUUGCUGCUGUUUCCUGAAGAGGACACUACUAACGGCCGAGCCGGUCUGCUCAAGUUCAGUUCUUGGCCUUUCUCACUGACUGAUUCCAUUCAGCCUGUGGCCUUACGGGUGACCAGACCAUUGAUUGCUUUGAACACCCCAGAGUCAAGUUGGCUGAUGGAGCUCAUGUGGACAUUUUUUGUUCCAUGUACAGUGUAUCAUGUAAGUUGGCUCCCACCAGUAUCCAGACAAGAUGGCGAGUCCAUGCAGGAGUUUGCCAAUAAAGUCCAGGAGCUACUAGCCAGUGAGCUUGGCUUGGUCUCCACCAAGAUCACUAAAGCUGACAAAGCAGAGCACAUCAAAAGGAAAAGACACACUGCACCACAGACAUCUACAAGUGUCAGACCUGCCGCCAUUGGCCUUGGUUUCAUGGUCCAGAGUCUGGGCACAGAUGAUCAUAGGAUUGCUAAAAUGGCCCAGCAGGUGAAGGAUGUGCUGCCUCAUGUCCCAAUGAAUGUCAUUGCAAAGGACUUAGCAAAAACCAAUUGUGUUGACACCACCAUAACAAAUUUGCUGGAGAGCAAGGAGGAAACUCAGAUGGAAGCAACUGGGACGUCGACGUUUGGUCCUUCUAUGAGCAGCUCCUACUCCUCUGGCCAUGCUCCCACCAUAAAGCCUGCUGCCAAAUCUUUUGGGAGAUCACCAGCUGACAGACAUUUGUCUCUCCAGGAGAGAAAAGAAGCGCUGUAUAGUUUUGCAAGAAGCAGCACUGCUGUUCUCUGUGCCUGAAACACUGUGCUAGCUCCAGUCCUCCUUAAGGUCUCCCUCUGGAAAAUCCCUGCUCUGAUUGUUCAGCUCACACAGGCCUGAGCGCAGGCACUGUUCACUGGAUUUCCCAUCAGCUUUGCUAAUUUUUGCAGCACUUCUUCCAUGAAUAUCACCACAAUAACAGCUUCUAAAAUAAAACAGCACCGGAUGCACCUUUAUUAUUACCUGCAGGACGCUACAUUGAAAAACAUGGAUUGGAUCAAGAAGACAGUCACUGAAUACACUUUGGGUCAAGCCAUCAUUGAAAACUUGUCAGAGAGAAGCAUAUUCAACUUGCAUAGCUGUAUAAUUUGAAUGGUGAUUUUUAUAUUCUGUCAACAGGUUCUGUUGGAAAAACAGAUUUUGUUAAUUGCAAAUACGUAAUGGGGAGAAGUAUUCGGUACACGUAUACGUUGAUGGAAUGGUGAUUAUGCAUGUGUUUAAUUCUUCAUUCUGGCCGAUACAUAAUUUUGAUAACAAUUUGUAUUACGAUCCACUGACUGUGAAUCAUCUAUUUAUUUUUAUAAUGUCCAGAGUCGUCGAUAAAAAUAAAGUUCAGCUUGACCU